UAUGGCGGUUGGUCGGUCGCUGGACUAUGGCGGUUGGUCGGUCACUUGACUAUGGCGGUCAGUCGGUCACUUGACUAUGAUGGUCCGUCACUGGACUAUGACGGUCGGUCACUGGACUAUGGUGGUCAGUCGGUCACUGGACUAUGACAGUCGGUCGCUGGACUAUGGCCUUGGUCGGUCACUGGACUAUGGCGGUCGGUCGCUGGACUAUGGCGUUUAGUUAUUGGGCCACAUGUCAUGGUCCGGCCGGUGAUUUGUUACUACAGUCAUGUGUCAUGUCAGACAAGUUAUUGCUGCGGCUGAGUAAACCAAGACUAACACAGGACCACAGAUCCAUCAGGGAGGGCGCCGUGGGGAUAUGAGAAGGAUGUGACUACAGACAUGAAGAUCCUACCUAUGAACCUGACCGCCCUCCUUAGGAAGGAAUUGAAGUUACAUCCGCCCGCGUUGAUAUUCGCUUCUGCUCUGAUCCCAUUUUUCCUCUUGGACAGACAACAGUACAGGACGCCUUCACCCACCAUGAUCUAAAGGAGAAGGAAAGAUGAUCAGUCCAUAAAUCAUAAACGUCUACAAUACAUAAGACCGAAUAAAGAGCAGAUGCCGGGCACGAUUUGGUGGUAAAAUAAGUGACGUAACUACAAAGUACAAUUGGUGGCGCAAAAAACAACAACAAGCCUCAUGUGUCUAUAGGUGGAAAAUGAAAGUGUUAUGGCUACUAGAAGGCUUUAUUUUAAUAAAAUGUUAAGAACUCCAUCUCAGGGGCCCCUGUUCCUGCAAACAGAUCGUGACGCCUGCAGACAAGCCCUCAGCCUCUGAUGCUAAAAGCAACGCCAGAGAUGGGAUAACUAAGUGACUUCUUCUGUCACCACUAUAAACCAGAUCCUUAUACUGAAGGACAUUUUUCAGCAGUUUGCUCUACAGCAGCUCUUCUGUGGGAAUGGACCAGACGGGGCUUCACCCCACACACAUCAAUCAGCCUUGGGCCCCCCGUUGUCCUGUUCCUGGUUAUCCUGUCUUGAAGAACUAUUGACAGGUAGGAAUCACUAAAUCUAAACUAAACCAAUCACUCAGAAAGACAGAGAAGUGACCUCAGGAUCAGAGCACUGGGCGCAUCACCCAAAAAUGAGAAACUCAAAUAUAUUGAAAUAUAAGAAAAAUGGGCGACCUGUGGACUAUCAGUAAGAAUCCCACAAGCAACGAUUCCAAUGUAAAGUCAUGAGAAAAAGAAAAAUAUAGAUAUGUUUCUAUUCCAACAAAGCAAAACAACGCAGCGCGCUCUCACAUGUACAGUGAUGAUAAAAGGAAAGUUCUGUAAUUUUAUGUAUCAAGACAUAA
Hyla sarda is the source of this 1335-nucleotide long non-coding RNA. RefSeq lists it as uncharacterized. The transcript has 4 exons. Lineage: Eukaryota; Metazoa; Chordata; Amphibia; Anura; Hylidae. The record is from RefSeq and is a predicted model, not a curated record.